Lytechinus pictus (painted urchin) is the source of this 338-nucleotide long non-coding RNA. RefSeq lists it as uncharacterized. Lineage: Eukaryota; Metazoa; Echinodermata; Echinoidea; Temnopleuroida; Toxopneustidae. The transcript is spliced from 3 exons. The record is from RefSeq and is a predicted model, not a curated record.
UUUAGGCCUUUCAAACUGAAUGGAUCACCUAGCUCGGCCGGCCCAUGUCAGUGAUGUGUUCAUUUUUGUCAAAAUUUGCUGAUUACAGUCAUACGUGUUAAGCCGGUUGGAUCGCUUUGGUUGCUCAACAAAAUAGGACCUUGGAGUUCUGUAGAAGUUCUUUGAGGAUUAUUCGUUUUCAAGAUGGCGGCCGCAGUACUAGCACCUGGUGACUAUGCAGCUAUCGUGUGUUACUUCGUGAUAGUUAUGGGAGCAGGGCUAUACGCACUUUUUACAUCUAACCGAGGAACUGUUAACGGCUACUUCUUGGCGGGAAGGUACAUGACAUGGCUUCCAGU